Long non-coding RNA from Bombyx mori (domestic silkworm), 1707 nucleotides. RefSeq lists it as uncharacterized. The transcript has 3 exons. The record is from RefSeq and is a predicted model, not a curated record. NCBI's taxonomy places the organism in Eukaryota, Metazoa, Arthropoda, Insecta, Lepidoptera, Bombycidae.
GUUUGACAGAUUGAUUUAUUUGUUCGUGUUUUCGUAUUAAUUCAAUUUCUCUUGAAUCUUUUAGUGAAAGUGUGUGAUGUAACAUUUCUAAAGUUAUUGAGGUCAGCUUUAUUGAUGUGUACGUGGGAAUAGACAAACAGAAUUGAGUGGAGGCGUACAUUUGCAAUUCUCGUGGUCACGGACCAUGAACUGAGUUAUGUUUAUGACUAAAGAAAAACCGAAGAAAAUCGUAUCGAAUCAAACCGUAACUCAUUUAAGAGAAACAAAUCAACACAGAAGGAACACAAAUAUAGAACAGUGCUGAUGUUCAAACAAUGAAAACUCCCAUUCAUAUUUGCAUUAAAAAACUUCAAAAUGUACAGAGGUGGGUGUGAUUUAUCAUAAUUACAUAUUUAUAAGGGACGAGUUGUAAUUGUGUCAACAAUUACUGUCUCAUUGUGCGUUACAUGAUUGCUCAUUGUGUUGUAAUUGAGUACUGGAAGGGCCUGUACUUAUAAAUAAUUUUAUAGGUCGAGUGUAUACGCGGUGAAACUAUGUCAGCGUUGUACUAAGCGAGGCAGCGAAAGUACUUUUAUUAUACCAUUACUUUAUACCAGAGGUUCCCAAACUUAUUGUGUCUACUGCCCACUUCAAGAAUAAAUUAUUUUGUAGCGCCCCCAUUUUUUCACCUACUUAAAAACCAAUAUAGCUAGAGCUCAGUCGGUGUCUAAGAGUCUUUCUAGAUGAAAUUACAAAUCGCCUCUGAAGCCUCUACACAACGCCCCAAUUUUUUUUCUGGGUCUCUUUAUCGCCCCCCUUUAGACCUGCAGCGCCCACAAGGGGACGUUAUCACCCACUUUGGGAAAGGCUGCUUUAUACGAAUAGAAGAAUGUUUUCCUAAGUUUAUUAAAAUAUGAAGUUGUUUCACCAUUGAAUCACCCGCCUCUGAAUAAUAUUUUACGCUCAGGGAUCAUGUUUUCAAUGUACUAUUAUAUCUUUAUAUAUAUAAUUUUACUGUACGUGUGUAUGUCACUGAACUCCUCCUGACGGCUGGACUGAUUUGAAUGUUUUAUUUUUUUUGUAUGCGUUUUGAGUGGCUCUCUGGAUGGUUUAGAAUCACAAAUCAGCCCGGCUGAGGGCGCUGCAGUCGGUAUCUAGGCUAUUUAUCUAUACUGCAACUAAACUAAAUAGGACAACGUCUGUCGGGUCCGCUAGUAUACUAUGAAAUAGCUUUGUCUACUUAGUGUUAUGGUAUGUCGAAAGAUGUUUGAAAAGAGUCGUCAGCGAUAAACUGUGUUCCCUGGACAUCAGUGAUGUCUCUAAGAGAUGAUGCCCACAGUCCACAUGAUGGUUUAAUGGUAAGAUUAGAAGUAUUUCUUGACAGUAUGCAAUGGCUUCAAAAACAAUUUUGCCAGACAGAGUCGAAUAGAGAAAUUCAGAUUGUGUUUCGAUUCAGAUGUUAACUGGUCCAGCCAGCCCUUUGUUAGGCUCAUCGAUAAGAUCAAACGUGUUAAUCUUUUAAGCUGCCAAAUUAACUUUCGGUAUUUAUCUCAAACACCAACAUAUUUUUCAAAUCUUUAGUAACAAGCAGCCUUCGUACGAGUCUAGUAUGCUUUGUGCGAGUUUUUUAAACGUUCUCGAUAGCGUACGAGUUAGCCCAAUUUUGUAUGCAGUUGGAACAGCGCCCCUAGCGGCAAACGUAGGCAAACGAUCCCAUUCCAUACAAAU